RNAcentral lists this ribosomal RNA (252 nucleotides) under uncultured bacterium. Its description in RNAcentral is "partial 16S ribosomal RNA". It matches the Rfam family "Bacterial small subunit ribosomal RNA", at positions 525 to 776 of the family's 1533-position model. The record is from RNAcentral.
ACGAAGGGGGCUAGCGUUGUUCGGAAUUACUGGGCGUAAAGCGCACGUAGGCGGGUUGUUAAGUCAGAUGUGAAAGCCCGAGGCUCAACCUCGGAACUGCAUUUGAAACUGGCAGCCUAGAGACCAGGAGAGGUUAGCGGAAUACCGAGUGUAGAGGUGAAAUUCGUAGAUAUUCGGUGGAACACCAGUGGCGAAGGCGGCUAACUGGACUGGUACUGACGCUGAGGUGCGAAAGUGUGGGGAGCAAACAGG